AGGACAGAGCAAUGGAGGGAAGCCAGAUUUAAUGUCAGAAGUCUGGACCAUCAAUUUUAUCCCUUCCCAUUGCCUCCUUUUAAAUUUUAGUCAAUUCAAUAAAUAUUUUCAACUCCUCGUCUGUACCAGGCACCAAGCCACAGAAUGGAGUUCUGGCAAUGAACACUGCAGACAUGGCCGCCUUUAGCCUCAUGGAGCUUAGGGUCUGGGAGCAUUGUCAGUUUCUGAAUCCUCCAAGUGCUAAACUAUCUUCUCUCUUCAAAUUAGAGAAAAGAAAUGAGACAGCAGGCCUGCUUCUUUGAGUGUUUUUUUCUUUUUUGUUUCCGUUUUCUGACAACCAUACUUCACGUCUGACAGAGGAAAUGAUUCUUUUUGUCAGUGAUAAAUUUAUGAGUUUUGACUGUUUGUGAAGUUCCCUAAUUAAUUCUUUAUAGACUUCUAUUGGCAACUGAAUUUGUGUUUUGAGUUAAAAAUGGGAGUUCAGAUGAAUUACAGUUGAACAUUCUGCUCCCUUUGAAGAGCUCAUACUCCACAUUCUACGCUGUUAAUCUCUCUGCUUACUGAGAGGCACCGUUUGUCUUGCAGUGACGCACGGUGGGUGGUUACCAUGGCAUAGGAAAACAUUGCCAGCGCUGGCCCUGUCGUCAUGGAACCCCUGGGCCAUCUCCUGAGAAACUUGGUAAGGGCUCCCAAGCCGCCCAUACCUCCUUGGCACCACAAGUGUAGCUUUUUAUUUUGUGUGUGGGCAGCUUGACAUCUGCACCUGACCAAGAGAUUGAUGUGGCUAAACAAAUUUAGGAAAUGAGCAGCAGUGGAUCUCUGUUCAGAGAGGGAGGAGGAGAGAGAAGGAGGGAGGGAAGAAAGGAGAGAGGGAGAGAGCCAGAAAACAGAGCAAGAUAAAGGAAGAGAAUGCACCUGAAAUAGACACAAGGAUAAAUGGAUCAAGGAGAGAGGAGAAACAGAUAAUCACAACAGCGAAUAUUUGUUAAAUGCAUGCUCUUUGCCAGACUCUCCAAGAUAUGCAGAGCUUUGGGCCAGGAUCCUACAGCCACGGGUCAUGCAGAGCCAGUUGGCCACAUCCUUUGGGCCAAAUUUGGUCCUAACCAGGUCUUACCACGGUAACUGCUAACCAGUCCAUCUUCAGUUAAUAUUUCAUGCAAAACAAUGGGCAAGUCAGCUCAUGAAGAACUUUUCAGAUAUUCAGACUAUUAUUCUGAGAGAGAAAAUAUUGGCAGAGAACAGAUGGGAUUUUUCUCAAGGAAAAGAAAUGGAAAUCCUACAUCUUGCAAGAAAUAGAAAAAAAUAAAUAAACUGUUUGAAGAAGAAUCACAUCAGGCUGGCAGGAGAGAGCCUGCGGCUCGGUGUCUGACCCAGAAUGUUAAAGCCAGCCUGGCUUGGCUCCAGGAUAAAGGACACUCUGUCAGCCUCUCCACAUUGAUUCAUCUCCCCAGCCCCAAGAUCAGGAGAGCAUUCUGUUCCUUGAAGCAUUUUAUGACUGUAAGUCAGAAGUGCUGCAGUUUUAAUAAAAAGCUGUAUUGUCCU
Long non-coding RNA from Homo sapiens (human), 1542 nucleotides. The record is from Ensembl. NCBI's taxonomy places the organism in Eukaryota, Metazoa, Chordata, Mammalia, Primates, Hominidae.